AUUGAACGCUAGCGGGAUGCUUUACACAUGCAAGUCGAACGAGUGGCGGACGGGUGAGUAAUAUAUCGGAACGGGCCCAGUAGCGGGGGAUCAAUACUCGAAAGAGUGGCUAAUAACGAAUACUAUUGGGGCGGCCGAUAUCGGAUUAGCUAGUUGGUGGGGUAAAGGAGCACCAAGGAAACGAGCCGUAGCUGGUUUGAGAGGACGACCAGCCACACUUGGACGGAGACACGGCCCAGACUCCUACGGGAGGCAGCAGUGGGGAAUUUUGGACAAGGGGGGAAACCCUGAUCCAGCCAUCCCGCGUGUAUGAGAAGGCCUUCGGGUUGUAAAGUACUUUUGGCAGAGAAGCGGUAUCUGCAGAAUAAGCACCGGCUAACUACGUGCCAGCCGCCGCGGUAAUUC
RNAcentral lists this ribosomal RNA (405 nucleotides) under uncultured bacterium. RNAcentral describes it as "partial 16S ribosomal RNA". It matches the Rfam family "Bacterial small subunit ribosomal RNA", at positions 30 to 526 of the family's 1533-position model. The record is from RNAcentral.